GGGUGCAUCGGAAGAUGGUCCAUCAACAACCUCUGGGGUAGGUGCUGGUGGGGAGGAGACGGUGGGUCCCCCGGCAGAUUCACUCGGGCUGGUUGCUGCGUAAUCGUCUUCGGCUGUUGGUUCCUCUGCCACAGGGGACGAUGCUUUGGGUGCUGAGGCUGACGAUGAUUUGGGUGCAGCAGCCGGUGCCUUGGUCUGCGUGGUGGGUGCUUUUGUAGGGGAGGCGGUGGGAGCAGCUGAGGGUGCCUCGGCAGCGAAUGCGGUGGCCACGACCAAGGCCAAUAGAGCCAAUACGACAAAUUGACGUGCCAUUUUUAAAAAUGAUUAAAGGUGUUCCAAAGCUAAAGCAGUAUGUAUUAUUUAUUUAUUUUUCUGAAUACUGC
Molecule: long non-coding RNA, 383 nt
Filed under: Brassica napus (rape)
Lineage: Eukaryota; Viridiplantae; Streptophyta; Magnoliopsida; Brassicales; Brassicaceae
Description: long non-coding RNA (BNAP_LNC002461)
Source: RNAcentral